CAUGCAAGUCGAACGGCAGCACGGGAGCAAUCCUGGUGGCGAGUGGCGAACGGGUGAGUAAUAUAUCGGAACGUGCCCAGUCGUGGGGGAUAACGUAGCGAAAGCUACGCUAAUACCGCAUACGAUCUACGGAUGAAAGCGGGGGAUCGCAAGACCUCGCGCGAUUGGAGCGGCCGAUAUCAGAUUAGGUAGUUGGUGAGGUAAAGGCUCACCAAGCCGACGAUCUGUAGCUGGUCUGAGAGGACGACCAGCCACACUGGGACUGAGACACGGCCCAGACUCCUACGGGAGGCAGCAGUGGGGAAUUUUGGACAAUGGGCGCAAGCCUGAUCCAGCAAUGCCGCGUGCAGGAUGAAGGCCUUCGGGUUGUAAACUGCUUUUGUACGGAACGAAACGGUGAGCUCUAAUACAGUUUGCUAAUGACGGUACCGUAAGAAUAAGCACCGGCUAACUACGUG
RNAcentral lists this ribosomal RNA (458 nucleotides) under uncultured bacterium. Its description in RNAcentral is "bacterial SSU rRNA". It matches the Rfam family "Bacterial small subunit ribosomal RNA", at positions 54 to 507 of the family's 1533-position model. The record is from RNAcentral.